RNAcentral lists this ribosomal RNA (450 nucleotides) under uncultured bacterium. RNAcentral describes it as "partial 16S ribosomal RNA". It matches the Rfam family "Bacterial small subunit ribosomal RNA", at positions 354 to 796 of the family's 1533-position model. The record is from RNAcentral.
GUGGGGAAUAUUGGACAAUGGGCGAAAGCCUGAUCCAGCCAUGCCGCGUGUGUGAAGAAGGUCUUCGGAUUGUAAAGCACUUUAAGUUGGGAGGAAGGGCAGUAAGUUAAUACCUUGCUGUUUUGACGUUACCAACAGAAUAAGCACCGGCUAACUUCGUGCCAGCAGCCGCGGUAAUACGAAGGGUGCAAGCGUUAAUCGGAAUUACUGGGCGUAAAGCGCGCGUAAGUGGUUUUGUAAGUUGGAGGUGAAAUCCCCGGGCUCAACCUGGGAACUGCCUCCGAAACUGCAUGGCUAGAGUACGGUAGAGGGUGGUGGAAAUUCCUGGGUAGCGGUGAAAUGCGUAGAUAUAGGAAGGAACACCAGUGGCGAAGGCGACCACCUGGACUGAUACUGACACUGAGGUGCGAAAGCGUGGGGAGCAAACAGGAUUAGAAACCCCAGUAGUCC